CCCACUUCAAGUUAUCGCAGAGGCAGUUGGUCUCCCAUCACAAGAAGGGUGAUUACAGUACAGUGUUUAGAGAAGGACUGCAUUCAUCUUUUAUUACAGUUUUUCAGGUUGAGAUUACUGGGAAGGGAGAGAAUCAAACAUCCAUAAAUCAGAGGAGGUCUACUCACAACAUGAGAAGCGCAAAGUACUGAAAAGUCAAGUAUGAAUUAAGGAUGAGGAAUUUUGUCUGACAGUGGCAUAGAAAAAUUUAUGCAAACUUUCUUCUCAAUCCAUGUCCUACAGUGACAAGAUGAAAUAGCCCCCAAUCUUCUUUGGCAAAUCAGAAGACAUUCAACCUAGACUAGGUUCCAGUUAUGAUCAUGGCAGCUUUAAAGAGAAACUGAUGGCUAAGAAGACUACUAGCAAGUAUUUUUCCUGAGUUUCUCAAGAUAUGAAUGGGCUAGCUCAGUCUGGGGAAAAUACAUAUAAGGAAUAGAUCUAAAAAGCAUAAUGGAUUUUCCCUCCAGUCAUUUCAAAUGGGUUUUUCCUGACCCGUUAUGUUACCUAAACACAAAUUGAAUCAGUGUGGUAUGGAGACCACCAAAUUUCUAUUUGAAAGUCUACUUAAACACACGUACGAUGCUGGUUGUUUCCGACAUUAUUCUAAACUGCAAAGUCUCAAGUCCGGCUCCUGUGUUUUCCAGUUUCCCUGGUGUCUGUGACACAGCAAGACAGCCGCUUUGGCCAUUUAAUGCUUCAAUACCCAACCAUCUCAUUUUUGCUCAGAACUUAAAAAAUGAGCAUGUCCGUUUUUCUUUUCAGUCAUUAGUUUGGCACUGAGUGCUGUGUUAAGUGACUUCUGAUUUUUAUUUGUAAUGCUUCUGGAACUGUUUUGGCAUAACAGAAGCUGAAAUCCUUACUAUAUUGUUGCAGGAUGGGGAGAUUUAAACAUGUUAAAGAUUAGUUUUUUGCUGAA
Molecule: long non-coding RNA, 955 nt
Organism: Herpailurus yagouaroundi (jaguarundi)
Lineage: Eukaryota; Metazoa; Chordata; Mammalia; Carnivora; Felidae
Exons: 2
Source: RefSeq, a predicted model, not a curated record